This 232-nucleotide ribosomal RNA is filed under the name uncultured bacterium. Its description in RNAcentral is "partial 16S ribosomal RNA". It matches the Rfam family "Bacterial small subunit ribosomal RNA", at positions 15 to 236 of the family's 1533-position model. The record is from RNAcentral.
GAUCAUGGCUCAGGAUGAACGCUAGCUACAGGCUUAACACAUGCAAGUCGAGGGGAAACGACAUCGAAAGCUUGCUUCCGAUAGGCGUCGACCGGCGCACGGGUGAGUAACGCGUAUCCAACCUGCCCACCACUUGGGGAUAACCUUGCGAAAGUAAGACUAAUACCCAAUGAUAUCUCUAGAAGACAUCUGAAGGAGAUUAAAGAUUCAUCGGUGAUGGAUGGGGAUGCGU